Molecule: RNA transcript, 1129 nt
Organism: Trachymyrmex cornetzi
Lineage: Eukaryota; Metazoa; Arthropoda; Insecta; Hymenoptera; Formicidae
Exons: 5
Source: RefSeq, a predicted model, not a curated record
CGAGUUCCUUACGAGCAAAACAUAGUGUACGUUUAACAGACUUAAGUCCAGAAAGUGAAGUAAUAAUAGUGAUCGAUUCAAAAAUUACUUGAUGCAAUGAAGAUGCGCCGUGAUUUCUACAACAGUGGACUUACCUGCGCAACUGUGUGGCUGUCGUUGUUUAUCCUCUCACUAGCAACAAUGAUCACCGCCAAAUCGACCAUCCAUGAGAUUGACACCAGUAUGACUAGCAAAAAUACUACAAACGAGACGUGCCCACCUGACAUGUGUCCCAUAAUGUUAUGCCGCUGGGGAUUCAGCUACGAAACGGAUGAGGUCACCGGCUGUCAAACGUGCAAGUGCUGGGAUCCCUGUUCCGACGUUGAAUGUCCAAAAAACAAGAUAUGCGUGCUACAAAAUCGGGCGUGUUUUACAACACCAUGUCCCCCGUUAACUACCUGUGAGAAUAUUACAUUCUAAUCUGCAAGCGAAUCCUUGCAGAUCAUCGAUUUGCAAUAGUUAUUUGCCAGACCCAGGAGAAUCUUGCGUUAAUGGUUCACACAUCAAAGAGGUAAUGAAGACAAAUAUCAAUGAAAAUAUAUUAAAAUCAUUUCCCAUACCUAGAUCCUCGACGAUCAAACAAAUGUCCGUCGAUAAAUUCAUUAUUCGCGAGUAAAUGUUUCCGAUUUCACAAAAGAAUCGUUAUUUUAUGUCUUAAACUUUAAAAAAGUAGAUUACAUUUCCGAAUCAUCCUCUAUAUUUUGUCAAAAUCGCUUAAUAAAUUUACAAACGAUUAUUUAUAAAUUUAGAUUACGUGAAUAAUGUCGAAUAAGUCUUUAAUAGUUGUCUUUAGAAUCUACAUAGUCAUAUGUAUGAACACCGGAUCCAAAAAUGUCGCAUGCAUUCGUUUGAUCGUCAAGUCUGGACCGUAAUGAUGAAUCUCGUGGACAAUAAAUUAGGACGAAAUAUCGACAGUGAGAUACAUGACAUUGUUUUGACUACGAUGUAUAUACUAUACCAUGUACGACAUUACUUCACGUUUCCAGGUUGCACUUAUGAUUUGUGUGUGCUUUUGUUUAUUAACCGCUAACAGUUAAGAACAAAUUCAGUUACGUAUAUAAGAUCAUUAAACAUAUUUAAAGUUGUAAAA